Non-coding RNA from Sus scrofa (pig), 1605 nucleotides. The record is from RefSeq and is a predicted model, not a curated record. Lineage: Eukaryota; Metazoa; Chordata; Mammalia; Artiodactyla; Suidae.
AAAUACUCUAUAUAAACUGUUAGGAGGCUCCCGCGCCAGUCCGGACAUGUUCUUGUGGCUGCUGGAGAAACCUUCACAUAUUUGGAGAACAAAGGAAGCAAAGAGAAUAAUUUAAUAGAUGCCAUCUUAGUUUCCGAGAGCUGCCACAAUGAAUUAUCACAAACUGGAUGGCUUAAAGCAAUAGGAAUUGGUCCUCUCACAGUUUGGAGGCUAGAAGUCCAGAAUCAAGACAGACAUUGGCAGAGCUGUGUUGCCUCUGAACACCCAAGGAUCAUACCACUCCUGCGAUAUGGGUCAGAGACCACUUACAGGAAUAUUGUAUUCUAUGGGAACUAACUCACGUCUGGAGCCAAAACCCAACUAGAAGUUGAGCAAUUCUGCUCAUAAGGAGUUAAUACCUAAAACAACAAAGAACUGUCACAACUAACGUAUGUGAGAUACUAUCCCAUCCUGGUUUUGAUUUACACUUCCCUGGCGAUUAAUAAUAUUGAGCAUCUUUUUUAUGUACCUGUUGGCCAUGUGUACAUUGCCUUUGGAAAAAUACUCAGGUCCUCUGCCAUUUUUUAAGUAAGUUAUUUUUUGUUCAUACUGAGUUGUAUAGUUCUUUAUAUUUUUUAGCUUUUAACCCCUUAUGAGGUAAGUUUUGCACGUAUUUUCUCCAGUUCUAUAGUUUGCCUUUUCAUUUUGCUGAUUGUUUCUUUUAUUGUGCAAAAGCUUUUUUGAUUGAUGUGCUACUUUGUUUUUUUAUUUGUGCUUUUGGUGUUGUAUUCAGGGAAUCACUGCCAAGACCAAUUCAGGGGAGAUUUUUUAUCUGUUUUCUUCUAGGAGUUUUACAGUUUCAGAUUUUAUGUUUAAAUCUUUAAUCUUUUUCAAGCAAUUUCUGAGGUGUUUAGGGGUCCAAUUUCAUUCUUAUGCAUGUAAUUAUCCAAUUUUCCCAGCACCAUAAAGUUUAUCCUUUGCCUGUUAAAAUAGUCUUGGCCCUCUUGGCAAAUGUUAGUUGACUCUAUAUAUGGAGGUUUAUUUCUGGACUCUAGAUAUGUGUUUAUUUUUCUGCCAGUACUAUACAUUUUUGAUUAACAUAGCUUUAUAAUGUAAUUUGAAAUUGACAAGUACGAUGCCUCAGGUUUUUGUUUUUUUUUUAUCUUAGGAUUGCUUUGGCUAUUAAAGGUCAUUUGUGCCUCCAUAAAAAUUUUAGGAUGGUCUUAUCUAUUUAAAUAAAAAUUCCCUUUGGAAUUUUGGUAGGAAUUGCAUUGAAGUUAUUGAUGACUUUGGAUAUUAUGGACAUUUCAACAGUAUUUUUCCAAUCCAUGAACACAAGCUAUCUUUCUAUUACUUUAUCUUCAAUUUCACUCAUCAAAUUCUUAUACUUUGUGGUAUAUGAUCUUUCACCACAUUGUUAAACUUAUUCCUAAGUACUUUAGUGUUUUUGAUGCUAUUGUAAAUGGGAUUGUUUUCUGUCUUUAUUUUUUGGAUAUUUUGUUGUUAGUGUAUAGAAAUGAAACUGUUUACUGUAUAUUGGUUUGGUAUUCUGCAACUUCACUGAAUUUGUUGAUUAGUUCUAGAUAGUUUUUUUUGGUCGAGUCUUCUGAGUUUCUAUAUAUAUCA